Molecule: ribosomal RNA, 439 nt
Filed under: uncultured bacterium
Lineage: Bacteria
Description: partial 16S ribosomal RNA
Rfam family: Bacterial small subunit ribosomal RNA
Source: RNAcentral
CUACGGGGCGCUGCAGUGGGGAAUAUUGCACAAUGGAGGAAACUCUGAUGCAGCAACGCCGCGUGGAGGAUGACACUUUUCGGAGCGUAAACUCCUUUUAUAUAGGAAGAAGAUGACGGUACUAUAUGAAUAAGCGCCGGCUAACUCCGUGCCAGCAGCCGCGGUAAUACGGAGGGCGCAAGCGUUACUCGGAAUCACUGGGCGUAAAGAGCGUGUAGGCGGAUUAAAAAGUCAGAAGUGAAAUCCUAUGGCUUAACUAUAGAACUGCUUCUGAAACCCUUAAUCUAGAAUAUGGGAGAGGUAGAUGGAAUUUCUGGUGUAGGGGUAAAAUCCGUAGAGAUCAGAAGGAAUACCGAUUGCGAAGGCGAUCUACUAGAACAUUAUUGACGCUGAGACGCGAAAGCGUGGGGAGCAAACAGGAUUAGAUACCCUAGUAGUC